This is a long non-coding RNA of Pygocentrus nattereri (red-bellied piranha), 1706 nucleotides long. NCBI's taxonomy places the organism in Eukaryota, Metazoa, Chordata, Actinopteri, Characiformes, Serrasalmidae. The record is from Ensembl.
GCCAGCCAUGAUCGCGCGCGAGCUCGGAGGGAUGAAGAUGGUCCAGCUGGGAAGACGCGGCGCUCCGCGGCAGCCAGAGACGCAGUGCUGAGCGGGAGAAGCGGACCUCCGUGAAAGCACCGCCGCCUCAUUCCGCCGGUGUUUCGUGCUCUAGAGGAGGCAGUGAGGGAGGGAGGGAGGGAAGGAGGGAUGUGCCUGAGCGCUCUUUAGAGCAGCCUGCAGUCUAGCAGCGACGAGGAGAAGAAGGACUAACAUUUUAUGCAGCAUCUGUUGAAGAAUAAAGAAGAGAGAGGAGAGAAAACUAACAGAGCCGGGUUUCCGAUAUUUUGGCCAGUUAAAGCAGAGCAAGGAACUAAGCCCCGGAGCCCCGCGUUCACCUGGAAUACCUUCACAACGCGUCGUCAGAAAGACAUAAACAAGUCUUGGUUGAGGACCCUAUGUAGGUGUGAUGUAAUCCCCCCACCACCACCACCUCCACCUCCACCACCACCACCACCACCACCCCCCACCCCCCCACUCAGCCAUGGAGACCACCGGGGCUCAGAAGACAGCCGUGUGGAAAGCAGAAGCCCUCUGAACACAACGGAGCUGAUAAGGAUCGACGGACCCCGAAACCAACCAGAGCUGAGUGGGAGACGAUUGGGAUAUCAGUGUCAUUUUUGCUGUUUACAUGCUCUGAAUGGUUUCGCUGAGGCCUGAGACUCUGAAGUCCUUCUCUUUUUAUGUUUUUGCUCAUAUCGUUUUAAACGGGAGGAAUAAGUGGUCUUUCUUCGCGUCCCGUACGACUCAAGCAGGGUUUUUUUAGCUCGAUCUUGACCAUAAGGGUAAGGUGACCUCGUCGAGAUAACUGCGCUGUCUCGCAAACUUUUACGCAAAAAUGAACGCUGAUUUCUCUUGAGUCCGCAUCGGUUACACGUGCAGCAAGAGUGGCCUCUAAAGGGCUGUGCGGUCAAAAUGAUUCCCCAUCACACUGACCUUAACCAUUCCAAAGAUCUCACCACCAUACGUAGUCCUCUAAAGACGUAGAUUAGCACAAUAAUAGCAGCGCAACGUGACUUGUGUAGUUGAUUAUUAAACUCUUUUAAACUGCAAGAAAACUGUAUUCAGGGAGUUUUACGGGUCAGGGAAAGACUUAAGUGCCACUGCUGAACAUGAGUGCCCAUAUUGUCUAGUAUUGAAGUCAUACUGAAGACAAAAAAAAAGCCAGAAACAUUAGUUUACAUUUUACGGUGUUUACAGUUGACCUUUGCUCUUAAGUGAAAAUUUUCAUCUUAAUAAGUGCCGAAACGGAGAGAAUACUUACUUAAAAACCUACGUGCUUAGUGAAAACUAUUGUAAAGCCUUCCUAAAUCUGACUUUACAUCAGCUAGCGAUUACCAUUAGGCAAGCCAUCUUUACUCUUCCUUGGCCAUAGACCUCUGAGGAAAGGUGAGAAGCGAAUGUCUUUUUGCUCAAGGGAGAAUUUUUCCUCUUUUUUUUGCCAUUUUGUUCGUUUCCAAAGAGACCGCAUCGUAAUAAUCCUUGCGACCAACCCCCACCCCGUUAUUCUGGAACUUUGCACAGAAUUUUUGCACACGCUGUAAUUUAUUUAUGGACUGUUUUGAUACGGACACAAAUACCGUACGUCGGAGGAGGCUGUACGUUUACAUGCAGCGUUAAGGAGGCCGGUUCCAAAGGAGGAUUCCGGAUUCUGCUCGGGGGUUGAG